UUAAGUUCAGCGGGUAUCCCCGCCUGAUCCGAGGCCAAACUUUGGUUGUGUGUUUUCGACGCAGGGUGUUACCCCCACAUCUAGACGACGGCCGUCCACCGAGUAAGCCCACAGAGCGAUUGACUUGCGUCUUGCUACGCUCGUGGUCCGACGGCGGCGCCCACGCGUUCCAGACCUGUCCUUUCACAGACAGCGUCCAA
RNAcentral lists this unclassified non-coding RNA (200 nucleotides) under fungal sp. RNAcentral's name for it is "partial internal transcribed spacer 2". The record is from RNAcentral. Lineage: Eukaryota; Fungi.